CUUUUCAUUCCCGUUGUUAUGGAGGUAGGCUCUCUAGGAAUCUGGGAGUAGUAGCUGGGGGGCAAGAGCAAAUAAAGAGCUCGAGCUUCUGUGGUCUCUGGGGAGAUGUUCCCGGGAAGCCUGUCUAGAGGGCGGAGGGCAGCUGUUGAGAUGGCGUGGCUCCCCGGCUCCUGCGCCCGCGUGGCUUUCGCGGCGGGCGCUGCGGCCCGGUAUUGGACAGCCUGGCAGGGCAGCGCGGGGCCGAAUCCGGCUGCCGUGGCUGAGGCUCAUGGAUCACUCUUUUGUGGUAGGGCCACAUCUGCCAGAGCCUGGAGUCUGCGAAGGCCGGGACCCGGUUCCCCGGCCCACAGUGGGGGUGUGCAAACCCGAGAGAACUGGGUUGCAAAUUCGUGAAGAAUCAGCAUCAUGUUUGGCAGCUGAGUAUUGGAGCCAGGAGCCUGCCAUGAGGUUAUAUUCCCAGAGGAUGUCAGUCCCAAGGACCAGUAGCUGCCAUCAGUUUGGAUUCUGAAAACUAACUGGCAUCAACACUGGGUGUAGAAACAUGCUUGCCUUAUGUAUCAGAGGACAUGCUCAGCAGAUCCAAGAGAUAUAUUUGGCAACUUUUUCUAGAAAAGGCACAUUGGGUAUCAUUCAUUACAUUCUUGAGUUUUUUUGGGUUUUUUUUUUUUUUUUUGAGACAGUCUUGCUGUAUUGCCCAGGCUGGAGUGUGGUGGCACAAUCACAGCUCAUUGCAUCCUCAAUCACCCAGGCCUAAGCAAUCCUCCCACCUUGUAGCUGGGACUACAGCUCACAGCACACCUGGCUAAAAUUUUUUUUUUGUUGAGACGGAUUCUCUAUGUUGCCCAGGCUGGUCUCAGGCUCCUGGGCUCAGAUGGUCCUCCUGCCUCAGCUUCCAAAGGCACAGGCCAAGUUGUAGCUUUGUCCCUUGCCAUCAUGCCCAACAAGAGGUUCUAUACCUUUUAAUGAAUUGACUUUCAUAAAUUGGUUAUGUUGGUGGGCAAAGUUCUUUAAGCUGGAAAUUGUAAAUUCCUCCUGAAAUGUUUUUUCAUGCAGUUACCAUGAACUAAUACUACAAUAAAGGAUGGUCUUGGGUGUCAAUUCUUGAAAA
RNAcentral lists this long non-coding RNA (1108 nucleotides) under Homo sapiens (human). The record is from RNAcentral. Lineage: Eukaryota; Metazoa; Chordata; Mammalia; Primates; Hominidae.